RNAcentral lists this ribosomal RNA (261 nucleotides) under uncultured archaeon. RNAcentral's name for it is "partial 16S ribosomal RNA". It matches the Rfam family "Archaeal small subunit ribosomal RNA", at positions 748 to 1008 of the family's 1478-position model. The record is from RNAcentral.
CAGCCGUAAACGAUGCGCGUUAGGUGUAUCGACGGCCACGAGUCGUCGAGGUGCCGAAGGGAAACCGUGAAACGUGCCGCCUGGGAAGUACGGUCGCAAGGCUGAAACUUAAAGGAAUUGGCGGGGGAGCACCACAACAGGUGGAGCCUGCGGUUUAAUUGGACUCAACGCCGGGAAGCUCACCGGAUAGGACAGCAGAAUGAUUGCCGGGCUGAAGACCCUGCAUGACCAGCUGAGAGGUGGUGCAUGGCGUCAGUGACU